AGUGAACGCUGGCGGUAGACCUAACACAUGCAAGUCGAACGGCAGCACAGUAAGAGCUUGCUCUUACGGGUGGCGAGUGGCGGACGGGUGAGGAAUACAUCGGAAUCUACUUUUUCGUGGGGGAUAACGUAGGGAAACUUACGCUAAUACCGCAUACGACCUACGGGUGAAAGCAGGGGAUCUUCGGACCUUGCGCGAUUGAAUGAGCCGAUGUCGGAUUAGCUAGUUGGCGGGGUAAAGGCCCACCAAGGCGACGAUCCGUAGCUGGUCUGAGAGGAUGAUCAGCCACACUGGAACUGAGACACGGUCCAGACUCCUACGGGAGGCAGCAGUGGGGAAUAUUGGACGAUGGGCGCAAGCCUGAUCCAGCCAUACCGCGUGGGUGAAGAAGGCCUUCGGGUUGUAAAGCCCUUUUGUUGGGAAAGAAAAGCAGCAGGUUAAUACCCCGCUGUUCUGACGGUACCCAAAGAAUAAGCACCGGCUAACUUCGUG
This 492-nucleotide ribosomal RNA is filed under the name uncultured bacterium. RNAcentral describes it as "partial 16S ribosomal RNA". It matches the Rfam family "Bacterial small subunit ribosomal RNA", at positions 29 to 507 of the family's 1533-position model. The record is from RNAcentral.